Non-coding RNA from Ricinus communis (castor bean), 108 nucleotides. The record is from Rfam. Lineage: Eukaryota; Viridiplantae; Streptophyta; Magnoliopsida; Malpighiales; Euphorbiaceae.
AAAUUAUGAUGCGGCUAUUAAAUCAAAUAGACCUUAAAUCUUUCCCAAACAUCAUAAAAAGAUUCUCCUUCUUUUCGAGUAAAAUUACAAAUCCUUGACUUAUAAUCU